RNAcentral lists this transfer RNA (86 nucleotides) under Felis catus (domestic cat). It matches the Rfam family "tRNA". From Rfam's summary of the family: Transfer RNA (tRNA) molecules are approximately 80 nucleotides in length. Lineage: Eukaryota; Metazoa; Chordata; Mammalia; Carnivora; Felidae. RNAcentral also lists the same sequence under 5 other names. The record is from Rfam by way of RNAcentral.
ACCUGGGUUGCUCAGUCGGUUGAGUGUCUGACUUCGGCUCAGGUCAUGAUCUCACGGGUUCGUGAGUUCGAGUCCCACAUCAGGCU